UCCUACGGGGGGCAGCAGUGGGGAAUAUUGCACAAUGGGGGAAACCCUGAUGCAGCGACGCCGCGUGAGAGAUGAAGUAUUUCGGUAUGUAAAGCUAUCUCAGCAGGGAAGAAAAUGACGGUACCUGACUAAGAAGCCCCGGCUAACUACGUGCCAGAAGCCGCGGCAAUACGUAGGGGGCAAGCGUUAUCCGGAUUUACUGGGUGUAAGGGGUGCGUAGACGGGCUAACAAGUUAGUUGUGAAAUCCUUCGG
RNAcentral lists this ribosomal RNA (253 nucleotides) under uncultured bacterium. RNAcentral's name for it is "partial 16S ribosomal RNA". It matches the Rfam family "Bacterial small subunit ribosomal RNA", at positions 337 to 607 of the family's 1533-position model. The record is from RNAcentral.